GUAUACUUUGUAUACGUGGUAGGGGAGCGUUCUGUAAGCCGAUGAAGGUGUGUUGAGAAGCAUGCUGGAGGUAUCAGAAGUGCGAAUGCUGACGUGAGUAACGACAAAACGGGUGAAAAACCCGUUCGCCGAAAGACCAAGGGUUCCAGUCCAACGUUAAUCGGGGCUGGGUGAGUCGACCCCUAAGGCGAGGCCGAAAGGCGUAGUCGAUGGGAAAAUGGUUAAUAUUCCAUUACUUCUGUGUAAUGCGAUGAGAGGACGGAGAAGGCUAAAUCAGCCUGGCGUUGGUUGUCCAGGUGAAAGGAUGUAGGCAUGUAUCUUAGGCAAAUCCGGGGUACUCUAUGCUGAGAUCUGAUAGCAAGCUGUACUUGUACAGCGAAGUGGUUGAUGCCAUGCUUCCAGGAAAAGUCUCUAAGCUUCAGUUACACAGGAAUCGUACCCGAAACCGACACAGGUGGUCAGGUCGAGUAGACCAAGGCGCUUGAGAGAACUCUGCUGAAGGAACUAGGCAAAAUGGUACCGUAACUUCGGGAGAAGGUACGCUGUUGUUGGUGAUGGAACUCGCUUCCUGAGCUGACGACAGCCGCAGAAACCAGGCCGCUGCAACUGUUUAUUAAAAACAUAGCACUCUGCAAACACGAAAGUGGACGUAUAGGGUGUGAUGCCUGCCCGGUGCUGGAAGGUUAAUUGAUGGGGUUAGCGUAAGCGAAGCUCUUGAUCGAAGCCCCAGUAAACGGCGGCCGUAACUAUAACGGUCCUAAGGUAGCGAAAUUCCUUGUCGGGUAAGUUCCGACCUGCACGAAUGGCAUAAUGAUGGCGGCGCUGUCUCCAGCAGAGGCUCAGUGAAAUCGAAAUCGCUGUGAAGAUGCAGUGUACCCGCGGCUAGACGGAAAGACCCCGUGAACCUUUACUGCAGCUUGACACUGAACUUUGACCUUACUUGUGUAGGAUAGGUGGGAGGCUUUGAAGCUGGAACGCUAGUUCCAGUGGAGCCGUCCUUGAAAUACCACCCUGGUAAUGUUGAGGUUCUAACUCUGUCCCGUGAUCCGGGACGAGGACCGUGUCUGGUGGGUAGUUUGACUGGGGCGGUCUCCUCCUAAAGAGUAACGGAGGAGUACGAAGGUGCGCUCAGCGUGGUCGGAAAUCACGCGUAGAGUAUAAAGGCAAAAGCGCGCUUAACUGCGAGACCCACAAGUCGAGCAGGUACGAAAGUAGGUCUUAGUGAUCCGGUGGUUCUGUAUGGAAGGGCCAUCGCUCAACGGAUAAAAGGUACUCUGGGGAUAACAGGCUGAUACCGCCCAAGAGUUCAUAUCGACGGCGGUGUUUGGCACCUCGAUGUCGGCUCAUCUCAUCCUGGGGCUGAAGCAGGUCCCAAGGGUAUGGCUGUUCGCCAUUUAAAGAGGUACGCGAGCUGGGUUUAGAACGUCGUGAGACAGUUCGGUCCCUAUCUACCGUGGGCGCUGGAAAUUUGAGAGGAUCUGCUCCUAGUACGAGAGGACCAGAGUGGACGAACCUCUGGUGUACCGGUUGUGACGCCAGUCGCAUCGCCGGGUAGCUAUGUUCGGAAGGGAUAACCGCUGAAAGCAUCUAAGCGGGAAGCCUACCUCAAGAUAAGAUUUCCCUAGGACUUUAUGUCCUCUAAAGAGCCGUUCGAGACUAGGACGUUGAUAGGUUGGAUGUGGAAGCAUAGUGAUAUGUGAAGCUGACCAAUACUAAUUGCUCGUGAGGCUUGACUAUACAACACCCA
This 1747-nucleotide ribosomal RNA is filed under the name Acinetobacter baumannii ABNIH15. RNAcentral's name for it is "bacterial LSU rRNA". It matches the Rfam family "Bacterial large subunit ribosomal RNA", at positions 1208 to 2925 of the family's 2925-position model. The record is from RNAcentral. Lineage: Bacteria; Pseudomonadati; Pseudomonadota; Gammaproteobacteria; Moraxellales; Moraxellaceae. RNAcentral also lists the same sequence under 3 other names.